CCUUCGAUAGCUCAGUUGGUAGAGCGGAGGACUGUAGCGGAUUAUCACUGAAAUCCUUAGGUCGCUGGUUCGAAUCCGGCUCGAAGGA
This is a non-coding RNA of Danio rerio (zebrafish), 88 nucleotides long. The record is from Rfam. NCBI's taxonomy places the organism in Eukaryota, Metazoa, Chordata, Actinopteri, Cypriniformes, Danionidae.